AGUGGGUUAGCUGGGUCAUAUGGUAGUUCCAUUCCUGAUUUUUUUGAGGAAUGGCCAUACUACUUUUCAAGUGGUUGUACUAAUUUGCAGUCCCACCAGCAAU
This 103-nucleotide microRNA precursor is filed under the name Marmota monax (woodchuck). The record is from RNAcentral. Lineage: Eukaryota; Metazoa; Chordata; Mammalia; Rodentia; Sciuridae.